This is a long non-coding RNA of Cydia pomonella (codling moth), 1494 nucleotides long. RefSeq lists it as uncharacterized. The transcript is spliced from 2 exons. The record is from RefSeq and is a predicted model, not a curated record. NCBI's taxonomy places the organism in Eukaryota, Metazoa, Arthropoda, Insecta, Lepidoptera, Tortricidae.
UGCCAGAAACAUGAUAUUGUUAUCAACUUAACCUCAACCUCUAGUUGCAAAGCUUUUAUCACUCCGUUGUGUAUGUGGUAGAUAACGAAAAAAAAAAAUAUUUUUUUCAUGUUUUUAAAUUAAAUUUUGUUCAGAUUGAUUCUGUUGCAAACUAUACUCAUCGCUUAAACAUUCAUGUUUUGCAGUUAAUAGUUUAGGUAUUAUACCAAGUAUUUAAAAAAGGUUAUGUUUUAUGGGAGGGUAAUUGAGAACAACAGGAUUUUUUUUUUAAUUUUUCAGAUUUUCAUGAACAUUGUUCCAUUGGUUACUCAUUCAUCAUUUAUUGACACAUUUGUAUGCCAUAUUUAACGCUUUGUUUGUACUUAAUUAUUAUCAUAUUAUUGUACCCUCUACUGUUUUGCAAAAAAAUACACAAAUGUGACUUCUAUUUUUGUCACAAUUUAACUCACGUGUAAUUUAAAAUUACAUGAUACAUGUAUUUUUUCUGAACAAAUUAAAUGAUGCAUUUGGGGUUUAUUCCACUAUUUACAAAAAGUAUCAAAACAGCGUGUUGUCGACAAAGUAAAAUUAUUUCCGCGAUUUCGCAAAUGUACCAAAUGUCCCCAGUUCCCCUAAAGAACGUUCCAAAAAGAUAUCAGUGUGUAUGUAAUCUUUUAACGUUAACAUUUCAAUGAGUGAUGGUCAAUUGACGUAUAAAUACAGCUAAUACGCGACUUUUGCAGCCAUUAAUUUUCUUCACACGAACGUGAGCGCACUUCAGCUGAUUAUUUGCCAUGUUGAAGCCGACAUUAUCGCUGCUCCUGUUGGGGCUACUCUGUCUCCACCUUGCCACCGCUCGCCCACAACCCGACCCUUCGCCUGACAAUGACCAGCAGCAACCACCGGCCCGCUCUGGAUCUCACACAUCUGACAGUAACAACCGCGACUGUAAAUUAAUUUUCUUCUGUAAUGAUGGAGCUUUAAUUCAGUGGGGUAAUCAUAAUUCGGGAUAAAAUGAAGUUAUGUGACGACACGUAAAUGCCGUUUUACUGUCGGGUUUCUCGAUUCUGUUCAUUAAUUUCAUUGUAUGUUAUGAAGCAAACAUGAUGUAAUUCAAUUUGUUCUUAAUAAAUAUAGUAAAUAAAACGUACGUAUCAAUUUAUUACCCAGAUCCCAGACUGCAAGAUAAAUACAAGAACGUUUUUGAGUGCAUCAAGCAUACAAUUAAUUUGCGCUUUACAUUACUUGAUCCAGAAAAUAUCAAUAUUUGAUAAUUAUUAUUAGUUGUACUUGCACACUAUAUAAAAAGGUCAAAUACGGCGUUCUCUGAAAACAAUUUCCUUUGGCAGAAUUAAUCUUUGAGUUCCUAAGAUGUACCUAUUUAAGAAGUGGAGCCACCUAGAUUUUUUAUGCAGGUGGGGGGGGGGGGGGAGGGUGUUGCAGCGUCGGCGACGUAUGAGGAUAAUAAAUUGUUUAAGUUUAGGAGCUAAGUCAAAUUUGAUAUAAUUUUCAACU